Molecule: RNA transcript, 4826 nt
Organism: Cucumis sativus (cucumber)
Lineage: Eukaryota; Viridiplantae; Streptophyta; Magnoliopsida; Cucurbitales; Cucurbitaceae
Exons: 6
Source: RefSeq, a predicted model, not a curated record
AUCCCAAAUUUCCAAUUUCGCAUCGUCUUCUUCUUCAUAAUUUUCCAAUUUUGCACGUCUACUUCUUCUUCACGGCUGAGUAUUAAAAAUCUCCAUCUUCUUCUUCACGUUUGAGCUUCUGAAAUCUUCUUCUCCACGUCGUCGUUCGUCACGCCGCCGUCUCUUCACGCUUCUCCAUCUUCGAAAAGUAACCAUCGGUCCUUCACUCCUCUCGUCUUCGCCGUUCUUGACAUUGGGGAAGCCCUAUCCCACGCCUGUUCUUGAAGACAUUCGAAAUUUGUUUUCACGCUCGUUCGAAAUUACCAUUCGAAAUCACCACCGGGGAUUAAUUCCAUCUCUUCACGCCUAUCUCUUCGCACUCGAUCUCUUCAUUCUGAAAAAUCCGCCGAUUGAAAUCCUCCAAACAAACACAUUUUGUUCUCUGCCACAAACUGAAUUAGAUUUACAAUGAUGGAUAACUCGUGGAUGCACAAGAGUAGAUUGUCUAAAGAUUAUGAGUUGGGUAUGGAAAACUUCAUCAAAUUUGGAUUUUCUAAUACAACUAGCUUCUAUAUUCGUUGUCCUUGUUUUUUUUUAAAAGGUAAUGAUAAUAUUAUACAACAACAAGGUGGACCUCAUAGCCUGAGGUCAAGGCACAAGAGCGAACAACACUCAUAGAACAAGUAGUUAGACAAACAACCCAUAAGUACCCAAAACAACCCCAUAUCUCGGGGACAAGAACCAAAACCAAAAGAAACCAACUAGUGUUCCAAACAUUAAAAGGACAAGAAGAAAAGAGAAAGACAACAAAGACAAUAAAGAGAAGAGAAACCCCACAGCCCAGGGACAAGCAAACGAAAAGCACAUUAAAUAAGACCAUGAACUCCAUCGAACCAAGAAAAAGCACGCGCUUUAAUACACGACCGAGUGAGCUGGAAUACAACCAUAGGCUCCCGAACAACACCUCCAUGAAGACGAUUAUUUCGCUCCUGCCAAAUGAAAUAAAUUGUAGCACACCAGAGAAGGCGCCACAGUUUUCUCCUCACACUCUUCCCAAUACCCUGAUUGCAAAUCCAAGAUAACCCCCCAAUAACCUAUUCUAUGAGAAGAUGACAUAAGCAAAAUGAUUCUCGACCAAAUCUCCCACCCAAAAGGACAAGAAAAAAACAAAUGAUCACGAGACUCAUAGUUCCCUCCACAAAGCAAACACGAUAAAGGAAUCGACCUAUCCCACCGACUUAACCUAUCUCUAGUACCCAACCUAUCCCUGAUGGCCAACCAAGCAUAGAAGGAGUGCUUAGGAAUAUUUCCCCCACCCCACAGUAAACUCAACCAGCCAACCCUACUACUAUGAGAACAAAUAGUCUCCCACGCACUGACGAUCGAAAAACUAUCAUGACUCCCCAGCACCUAGACCCACCUAUCCUCAACACUCGGACUCAGCCUCACACCCUGAAUUCUAUCCCAAAUGUCCAUCAAAUCCAAAGAAACAAGUGGUCACCUCCAAUCUCCAUCCCGACCCAUGAAAUCCACCAACCUCGCAUCCUGCCGACUACCCGCAUCAUAGAUCACCCUCUCCCCAAACUGUUGGAUAAUCGACCCACCCUGAAUCCAUGGAUCCAACCACACUCUACACUUCCUUCCAUUGCCCACCUCCAUUUUAACAUGAGCUUUAAGGAUAUCCCGCUUACGCAAGAUUGCCCUAAAGCACCAAGAUCGACCCACCCCCGCAUCGAUCUCCCACAACGAUCUCCCUUUAAGGAUAUAAGAUUCCACCCAAGCAACCCACAAACUACCAAAUUUAACUAGUAGCAAACAUAAUAUCUUCAACGUGCUUGCUAUAUUCUAAGAAGAUCCAUCGUGAAUAGCAAGACCUCCUUCAUCAAAAGGAAGACAAACCUCAUCCCAGGCAACUCUAGUAGAAAGGGUGUUAGAGAUCACUUGUAUGUUAAUGGUAUUGAUGAGAGUUAUAAAAUUUGGUUUUGGCAUGGGGAAGAACUUCCUAACUCAUCCUUCUAUGAAGAAUCUUCAAAGUUUGACGCUCAUACAUGUGAAGAUAAUGAUGUUGGAAGUGUAAAAGAAAUGAUUGAAGUUGCUCAUAAGAAGUAUUCAAAAGACCCAAACGGAUUUGAGAAGUUGCUUAUUGAUGUUGAAAAAUCAUUGUACGAAGGAUGCAAAAAGUACACAAAGUUGUCUACUCUAGUCAAAUUGUAUAAUUUAAAAGUUAGGUAUGGAUGGAGUGAUACUAGUUUUUCAGAAUUACUUGAAACUUUGAAGGAAAUUCUGCCUACUACCAAUGAGCUCUCGAAUUCAUUGUAUGAAGCAAAGAAAACAUUAGGUGCAUUAUGAAUGGAAUACGAAAAUAUUCAUGCAUGCCCGAAUAAUUGUUGUCUCUAUAGAAAAGAAUUUGCUAAUGCAAUUGAAUGCCCUAAAUGUGGUCAAUCAAGGUGGAAAAACGUCAAGGAUACAAAUGAAAGGAGAAACCAAAAUCCCUCAAAAGUGAUAUGGUACUCUCUAAUCAUUCCACAAUUUAAAAAGUUAUUCAAAAGGAAGGUUCAAAUGAAGUGGAUUUGGAUCGAGCCAUCAUGUGGAAGAAAGCUUGAGUUAACAAAAAAGGGGAGUAUGACAACGACGAUGUUCAACAAGUCGUCCAUAAAAUUGUAAGACUUUUUGUAGAUUACACAUUUGAACUAACCAUACAUAAGCAUUUCUAUAACUUAGAUUGAUUUUGUUACUGUUUUAGGAUAAGAUUUCAAUUAAUACAAAUUCAUCAUCUCAAAAAGGACACUCUUCUAAUGAUGUCUUAACUCAAGCAUUGGGUACAAAAGAGCAUCGUGGUCGUGUUCGUGGGGUCGGUGGGUAUGUUACUCCUACCACUUACUUUCAUUCUGUAAAAAAUACAUCAAAACGCAAGGAGGAGAUUAUACUUGAGAAUAAAGAACUUCGAAGGCACGUAAGCGAAUUAGAAGCACGUAUCCACUCAAACUUGUCUACACCAUUAUCUAGACAUGAAAGUUGUUCGAAGUCAAAUAUCUUAGAAGAGAGUGAGUCAAUGAAACUAAUCAAAGGGAAGAAUAAGUUGAUGGAUAAAAUCAAAGAGAAAAAGGUGGAGGAGAUUUAUGUAAAUGACGACAAAGUAGAGUUGGACAUCUUUAAGGAGAGAGACUUACUAAACAUGCCUAAGAAAUGAGAGGUUGUCUGUGAGUCGACGUCAAUUUUGCCAAUAGCUUUGAAGUCGAUUCUCAGAUACGCUGAGAAGAUAAUGGAGAAAGAUUCUAAUAUCACUAUUUCACUACCUGUUGGCAUUUUUGGUAUUACUCGAAAGACUUCUGUGCUCCGAGAGGACAUCAUUGACCUUGUAACAUGAAUGAGAUCAAAACAUUUACAUUGGUGGCCUAUAUGACGUACUUGUAUUCAUCUGUUCUUGGUUCGAAGGAAAAUGUACAAUACGUCUUUGUAGAUCUGUCCCUCACCUCUGCCGGACACUCACAAGAAUCUCGAGUUGGAAACUUAUACAGUAGAUUGAUGUUCUCAAAAAGUAACAAAAUAGUUCUUGCUUCUUUUAAUCCUGGGGGUCAUUGGGCACUGCUAGCCAUAAAUGCGUAUGAUGAUACAAUAUUCUACAUUGACUCACUAAGGACAACAUUGAAGUCAACUACAAGAUUGAGACACGAAGAUCAUACUCACAUGCAGAACUAGACCAGGUGCGAGUUGAGUUAGCUGAUUUUCUGGGUUCGUACAUAUGAUUGUGACCAAUAAUUUGUGAUUCUGAAGUAGGAAAGUUGAGUAGUUUCUUUCUGGCCAUAGCAUUGACCCUUUUUUCAACAUUUUAGGACGAAACUAAAAAACCCAGUCUGGAGCAUCAUUGUUUGACUUUUGUUGGCAAAAAAGCUUUAAUAUUACUCAAAAUUAGAUCACUCAGUAGUUAUAUGUGAACUUUCAAGACAUUUGACAUGGUUCUAAGUUGGGUAGUUUAUUUCUAGGCCACAACAUUGACCAUUUUUUCAACAUUUUAGGACGAAACUAAAAAAUUGAGUCUAGGGCAUCACUGUUUGACUUUUGUGGGAAAAAAACUUUAAUAUUACUCAAAAUAGGAGUACCCAGUAGUUAGAUGUGAACUUUCGAGACUUUUGACAUUGUUAUAAGUUGGGUAGUUUCUUUUUUACCGUAGCAUUGGUCAUUUUUUCAACGUUUUGAGACGGAACUAAAAAACUUAGUCUAGGGCAUCAUUGUUCGUCUUUUGUGGGCAAAAAACUUUAAUAUUACUCAAAAUGAGACCACCCAGUAGUUAGAUGUGAACUUUUGAGACAUUUGACACUCUUGUAAGUUGGGUAGUCUCUUUCUUGGUCAUAACAUUGACCCUUUUUUCAACUUUUUGGGACGGAACUAAAAAACUGAGUCUGUGACAUCACUGUUUGGAUUUUGUUGGCAAAAAACUUUAAUAUACUAAAAAUGAGACCACCCAGUAGUUAGAUGUGAAUUUUCAAGACCUUUGACAUUGUUCUAAGUUGAGUAGUUUUUUUCUGGGUCAUAGCAUUGACCCUUUUUUUCAACGUUUUAGGACGAAACUGAAAAAUUGAGUCUAGGACAUCACUGUUCGGCUCUUGUGGAUAAAUUUUUUUAAUAUUACUCAAAAUGAGAUCAUCCAGUAGUUAGAUGUGAACUUUCGAGACCUUUGACAUUGUUCUAAGUUGGGUAAUUUCGAUUAAGGAUCAAGCUAUUGUUGACCUCCCCGUCAUGGAUUGUAGAUUAUCAUUCUUUUUGUAUGUAUUUCCAUAAUUUUUUUAUUGUAUAAUGGUUUAAAGUAACGAGGGUCAUGCUAUAAAUACGUGUCUUGAGAGUUUUAA